GACAGAGGGUGCAAACGUUGUUCGGAAUUACUGGGCGUAAAGCGCGUGUAGGCUGCUCUGCAAGUCGGAUGUGAAAGCCCUGGGCUCAACCUAGGAAGUGCACUCGAAACUGCCGAGCUGGAGUCCUGGAGAGGAAGGCGGAAUUCUCGGUGUAGAGGUGAAAUUCGUAGAUAUCGAGAGGAACACCGGUGGCGAAGGCGGCCUUCUGGACAGUGACUGACGCUGAGACGCGAAAGCGUGGGGAGCAAACAGG
This 253-nucleotide ribosomal RNA is filed under the name uncultured bacterium. RNAcentral's name for it is "partial 16S ribosomal RNA". It matches the Rfam family "Bacterial small subunit ribosomal RNA", at positions 524 to 776 of the family's 1533-position model. The record is from RNAcentral.